AUGGCAGAUGACACUGGUGCAGCAGGAAGGCCUAGAGGCUCUGGGGGCCCCGGAAUGGGAAGCCAUGGUGGUUUCCGUGGAGGCUUCAGCAGCGGCAUUCAUUUGGGCCAGGGUCACAGCUGUGGUGUGGGUUGGGGCUGAGGCCGCAGAGUUCAUGGAGGCAAGGCCAAGGACAAAGAGUCGAUGCCUGUCACCAAGCUGGGCCACCUGGUCAAGGACAUGAAGAUCAAUCCCUGGAGGGAGCUAUCUCUUCUCCCUGCCCAUUAAGGAAUCUGAGAUCAUUGAUUUUUUUUCUUGGGGGCAUCUCUCAAGGAUGAAGUUUUGAAGAUUAUGCCAGUGCAAAAAAUAGACCCACACUGGCCAGCGGACCAGGUUCAAGGCAUGUGUUGCCAUUGGGGACUACAAUGGCCAUGUCGAUCUGAGUGUUAAGUGUUCCAAGGAAGUAGCCACUGCCAUCUGAGGGGCCAUCAUCCUGGCCAAGCUCUCUAUUGUCCCAGUGCGGGGAGGCUACUGGGGGAAUAAGAUCGACAAGCCUUACCCUGUUCCUUGCAAGGUGACAGGCCACUGUGGCUCUGUGCUGGUAGGUCUCAUCCCUGCUCCUAGAGGAACUGGCAUUGUCUCAGCGCCUGUGCCUAAGAAGCUGCUAAUGAUGACUGGGAUCAAUGACUGCUACAUUUCAGCUAGGGGCUGCACUGCCACCCUGGGCAACUUUGCCAAGGCCACUUUUGAUGCCAUUUCCAAGACCUAUAGCUAUUUCACUCCUGACUUCUGGGAAGACACAGUAUUCACCAAGUCUCUUUACCAAGAAUUCACUGACCAUCUUGUCAAGACCCACACCAGAGUCUCUGUGCAGAGGACCCAGGCUCCAGCUGUGGCUACAACAUAGGGUUUUUAGACAAGAAUAAUAAAGUGAAUUAAG
This is an RNA transcript of Otolemur garnettii (small-eared galago), 919 nucleotides long. It is a transcript of the gene named 40S ribosomal protein S2 pseudogene, with no coding region annotated. NCBI's taxonomy places the organism in Eukaryota, Metazoa, Chordata, Mammalia, Primates, Galagidae. The transcript has a single exon. The record is from RefSeq and is a predicted model, not a curated record.